This 421-nucleotide long non-coding RNA is filed under the name Marmota monax (woodchuck). Lineage: Eukaryota; Metazoa; Chordata; Mammalia; Rodentia; Sciuridae. The record is from RNAcentral.
ACAGUACGUCGAGAGCUUAGCACUGUCGGAGGCACUGCGGGGACCCAUCCCGAGGCGGGGGAGGCUCCCGGGGGGUCCAGGUUGCGGGUUCCCCAGCAGGAGAGAGUGCAGAGUGCACCCGAACAGGCUCGCAAGCCGAGCUGCAGCUGUUUGUGCGAGGCCGGCGGUCGCACGCUCCUCCCCGUCCCUCCUCCCGCCAAGCCGGGGGAGGAGAGGGUCGGACCAUAGGGCCACGCAGAGGGCGGAGGGCGCAGUGACCACAGUGACAACGGAUGGCUAGAGGCUAGUAGUGCUGGAGGCGAGAAGCAAUCGGAUUUGGUGUGUCCUCAGUCCCGUCUGUCUGCCCAGGGAUCCGGGUUUCCGCAAGUGGCACAGCGCAGCGCCAGGUGAGGAGGGGUCCCCAGGGCGGGCGGGAGCCCCA